Molecule: long non-coding RNA, 676 nt
Organism: Chinchilla lanigera (long-tailed chinchilla)
Lineage: Eukaryota; Metazoa; Chordata; Mammalia; Rodentia; Chinchillidae
Exons: 2
Source: RefSeq, a predicted model, not a curated record
CUCACAAUGAUCCUCCUGCUUCAGCCUCCAAAGUGCUGGGAUUACAGGCAUGCACCACCACGCUCAGCUUACCCAUAGGAGUUGAAAGCUUAUGUUCAUGCAAAACUGUGCACAUGCAUGUUUAUAUCAGUUUUAUUCACCUCUGCCAAAACUCAGAAAUAACCAACAUGCCCUUGAGCAGGGUGUUUCCAAAAUGGUUACUAUUUGAAUCUGUGUAGUGAGUAUUCCCUCACUAAUGUGGGUGGGUGUAAUCCAAGCCACUGAGGAUCCAAACAGAACAAAAAGGUGGUGGAAGGAUAAAUGUGCUUCUGCUUGAGCGGAACAUCGAUCUUCUCCUGCUCUUAGACACCAGCGCUUCUGGUUCUUGGGCUUCGGAGCUUCAACUAGAUCUGCACUACCGGCUCUCCUGAGGCUCCAACUGGCAAAUGGCUGAUCGUGGUACUUCUCAACUUCCUUGAUGGUGGAAGCCAAUCCCGCAUAGUAAAUCUCUCCUUUCCUACCCACCUACCUAUCAGUCUCUAUCAGUUGGUUCUGUUUCUCUGAGAACACGGACCAGCACAAUUCUAGAGCUUUCUAACUAGUCCAUCUGCACCAGUCCUCACUGUCUUAUAAAACUGCAGAUAGUCUGUUCUCAGCACAGAGGCUGAAGUGAGCCGAUUAAAAAAUUAGAACUAUC